Molecule: long non-coding RNA, 508 nt
Organism: Raphanus sativus (radish)
Lineage: Eukaryota; Viridiplantae; Streptophyta; Magnoliopsida; Brassicales; Brassicaceae
Exons: 3
Source: RefSeq, a predicted model, not a curated record
AGAAACUCGACAACGUUUUAGAUGAGACGGUCAAUCUCUUCUGCCUCUCCUCCAUUAAAUUAAAACUUUUUUUUUUUUUUUUCUGCGUUGGUUCGUUUUCUCCAAUCGAACACCUCCGGUUCGAAGCUGUCCCGCAUAUAGACCCUCAUGGAGUUGUUCCCAUCAAAAUCUUCGAGUAAGUAGCAACUUGGCCUGAAUUUUACUGAAGGCAUGACGUCUUCCAAAGCCUACCCCAAGGCGGUUAAUGGAUUGGCAAGGGUACGAUAGAACCAGAGAUUCUGUUGGUACUUUUUUUUUCUAUCUUAUUGUUUGUAGAUUAUUAUUCGCUGCUUUUGCUGAUCAAUUGUAAAGUGUGAUGAAUAUUUUUUUUUAGUUAGAUUUUUCAUGAUUUCAAGAAGGUGAGGACUUCAUCGCUCUCAUGGCUGACAAAAAGUUUUCAUACCGAAACAAAGCAACUUUGCGAUGCUGAAGGUUUUGUGUGUUUUAAUAUCUAACCAUGGAUUUUUGA